This 75-nucleotide transfer RNA is filed under the name Bacillota bacterium. RNAcentral describes it as "tRNA-Gln". It matches the Rfam family "tRNA". Rfam says of the family: Transfer RNA (tRNA) molecules are approximately 80 nucleotides in length. The record is from RNAcentral. Lineage: Bacteria; Bacillati; Bacillota.
AGGGGCGUCGCCAAGCGGUAAGGCACGGGACUUUGACUCCCGCACGCGUUGGUUCAAAUCCAGCCGCCCCUGCCA